UAACCCUCGCAAGGGAUUCAUUUUCCCGAGCGGACGUGGAGGUCGCCGGUCUUUUCGAGGAUCGGCCCCUCCGAAAUGCAUUAGCUGGCACGCUGCCGGCGCGUGGUGUUGAUAAUUGUCUACGCCUGGUCGUCUGCGAGCGCGUCGCCGCCAAUCGUCCUUCGUCGGACAACCAAACUCAAA
RNAcentral lists this unclassified non-coding RNA (183 nucleotides) under uncultured Agaricomycetes. Its description in RNAcentral is "sequence contains ITS2". Lineage: Eukaryota; Fungi; Basidiomycota; Agaricomycetes. The record is from RNAcentral.